AAGGCCCUCAGAAAGCAUCCAAAUUUUCUCAAAUCAAAAGAGAAUAUUCUUUUUUUGGAGAGAAUCAGACAAGUCAAACAAAAUUGGACAAUGAUCUGAAACAAACUGGACAAGAUGAAAAGUCUUGAAAUCAAAAAAUAGAUUAAGCCACGUGUCAGAAGCAAAGACACGAUCUAUUCUCUCCCAUACGCGGGCCAAACCCAAUCGGUUAU
This 212-nucleotide long non-coding RNA is filed under the name Elaeis guineensis (African oil palm). RNAcentral's name for it is "long non-coding RNA (EGUI_LNC000915)". The record is from RNAcentral. Lineage: Eukaryota; Viridiplantae; Streptophyta; Magnoliopsida; Arecales; Arecaceae.